Molecule: unclassified non-coding RNA, 431 nt
Filed under: Senecio picridioides
Lineage: Eukaryota; Viridiplantae; Streptophyta; Magnoliopsida; Asterales; Asteraceae
Description: partial contains external transcribed spacer and 18S ribosomal RNA
Rfam family: Eukaryotic small subunit ribosomal RNA (bases 368-431)
Source: RNAcentral
CAACUUCACCUGGCUUACCUCCNUCAGUUAUGCGUCAUGACUUGUAUCGUCUUGAGCGUAUUGUGGGUUUCCUGUGUUGCAUACCUAAUAAUGGAAUCGUUUUGGUUGAUUUAAGUCCCUUUUCAUCACGUGUUGCCUUUGUGAUGCAUGAUGAACCUCGAAGCGGUCUCUAUGUUCCACCAYGUUGAUGCUAGUGUCUUGAUGUUGUGGCCCAUUGAGUGUUGCUUGGUUUCGUGGAUACAGAACAUGAUUUGGGCAUAGGGUCACCUGUGACUCUUGUUUUGUCCUUUAUCAGUGUUCUCUAUAACGACGGUUCAUGCGCGCCUAGGCUCGUACCUGCGCGAUGUUCUUUGUCGAAGAGGAAUGCUACCUGGUUGAUCCUGCCAGUAGUCAUAUGCUUGUCUCAAAGAUUAAGCCAUGCAUGUGUAAGU